UGUUCCCAUCCUGUGUUGAAGGUUGAGAGUGCUGCGGGUGAGGAAGCCGCGCUGCUGUAAGGGACCCCAGGGCCUGCAAGCCCGCUCCUCCUCCACCCAAGCCGACGGACAGGAGCAGCUCUUCCACCUCACUGACAACAUCCACUCUGAGUUGGUAUGUGGCAGGGUCUACAGACAGUCACGGACGACAAAGGGAAAACCAGACACGUCGCGGACACAGACGUCUUGCUUCCAGACAAGCUAAACACCUUUCUUUGCCCGCUUUGAUGAUAACACAGUGCCACCGACACGGCCCGCUACCAAGGACUGUUGCCUCUCCUUCUCUGUGGCCGACGUCAGUAAGACAUUUACACGUGUUAACCUUCGCAAGGCUGCCGGCCCAGACGGCAUCCCUAGCCGUGUCCUCAGAGCAUGCGCAGACCAGAUGGCAGGAGUGUUUACGGACAUAUUCAAUCUCUCCCUAUCCCAGUCUGUUGUCCCUACUUGCUUCCAGAAAUCCACCAUUGUUCCUGUACCCAAGAAAGCUAAGGUAACUGAACGAAUUGACAAUCGCCUCGUAGCACUCCUGUCAUAAUGAAGUACAUUAGGGCUCCCGAGUGGGUCAGCAGUGUAAGGCACUGUAUCUCAGUGCAAGUGGCGUCACUACAGUCCCUGCUUCGAAUACAGGCUGUAUCACAUCCGGACGUAAUUGGGAGUCCCAUAGGGCGGCGCACAACUGGCCCAGCGUCGUCCAGGGUAGGCCGUCAUUGUAAAUAAGAAUUUAUUCUUCAUUGACUUGGCUAGUUAAAUGUUUUAUUUUAGUUUUUAUUGUCAAGGGUCAUAUCACCUCUACCUUACCUGACACCCUAGACCCACUUCAAUUUUCUUACCACCCAAAUGGAUCUACAGACGAUGCAAUCGCCAUCGCACUACACACUGCCCUCUCUCAUCUGAACAAGAGGAAUUCCUAUGUAAGAAUGUUGUUCAUUGACUAUAGCUCAGCAUUCAACACCAUAGUACUCUCCAAGCUCAUCAUUAAGCUCGAGGCCCUGGGUCUGAACCCUGCCCUGUGCAACUGCGUCCUGGACUUCCUGACAGGCUGCUCCCAGGUGGUGAAGGUAGGAAAAAACACCUCCACUUCACUGAUCCUCAACACUGGGGCCCCACAAGGAUGCGUGCUCAGCCCCCACCUGUACUCAGGAUGCGUGCUCAGCACCAGCAGUGGCGUAGCCAUGCCCUUCCCAACAGAAGCCUAUGGUAAAGGCUUCCACAACCCUAUAAGAACUCUUCUGUAGUGUUAAUACAAUUAUUAAGACCAUAAUUCAUUAUUAUUUCAUUUAUUUAUGCACAUUCUAGCCUAUAAUGUCCAAGAAUUAUGUAUUUGUUUUACUUUUUCCCUCAGAA
This is a long non-coding RNA of Oncorhynchus tshawytscha (Chinook salmon), 1383 nucleotides long. The record is from Ensembl. Lineage: Eukaryota; Metazoa; Chordata; Actinopteri; Salmoniformes; Salmonidae.